CCUACGGGGGGCAGCCGUAGGGGAUUUUCGUCAGUUUGUGCAGGCCCGAACGAGCGAUGCCGCGUGAGUGAAGAAGGCCUUCGGGUCGCAAAGCUCUGUUGCGGGGGAAAAAAGGCAGCAUCAGGAAAUGGGUGCUGACUGAUGGUGCCCCGCCAGAAAGUCACGGCUAACUACGUGCCAGCAGCCGCGGUAAUACGUAGGUGGCGAGCGUUAUCCGGAAUGAUUGGGCGUAAAGGGUGCGCAGGCGGUCCUGCAAGUCUGGAGUGAAACGCAUGAGCUCACAUCAUGCAUGGCUUUGGAAACUG
Molecule: ribosomal RNA, 305 nt
Filed under: uncultured bacterium
Lineage: Bacteria
Description: bacterial SSU rRNA
Rfam family: Bacterial small subunit ribosomal RNA
Source: RNAcentral